AGGAGAUGGACUGGAUUUCUGAGAUGGGACUUGGAUGCAACUUCCAGCAACGUGGUCAUUCAUGGAAGCCUGGCUGGAAGAGUGACCUAAAAAGUACUUCUGUCUUUGCAGCAAGAUGAAUGCUAACUAACCAACACUUGGCAGAAACAGCCUCAUGACAAGAGAACUGGAAGUGUUUUUCUCUGAAAUAAGUCCUGUACUGCAGAGCAUGGCAGACAUAGGGCUUCACGAAGAACAGAAUACUGCACCGGGCCCUUGGUCAGCGCUGCAGUGACAGGAGAACUCUGAAGUCCGAGUCCCCGGCCUGCUCGCUCUGCUGUCAAUACUG
Lonchura striata (white-rumped munia) is the source of this 328-nucleotide non-coding RNA. The record is from RefSeq and is a predicted model, not a curated record. NCBI's taxonomy places the organism in Eukaryota, Metazoa, Chordata, Aves, Passeriformes, Estrildidae.